Molecule: ribosomal RNA, 536 nt
Filed under: uncultured bacterium
Lineage: Bacteria
Description: bacterial SSU rRNA
Rfam family: Bacterial small subunit ribosomal RNA
Source: RNAcentral
AAUAGAUACCCCGGUAGUCCACGCUGUAAACGGUGGGUACUAGGUGUGGGGUCCAUUCCACGGGUUCCGUGCCGUAGCUAACGCUUUAAGUACCCCGCCUGGGGAGUACGGCCGCAAGGCUAAAACUCAAAAGGAAUUGACGGGGCCCCGCACAAGCGGCGGAGCAUGCGGAUUAAUUCGAUGCAACGCGUAGAACCUUACCUGGGUUUGACAUGGAUCGGGAGUGCUCAGAGAUGGGUGUGCCUCUUUUGGGGUCGGUUCACAGGCGGUGCAUGGCUGUCGUCAGCUCGUGUCGUGAGAUGUUGGGUUAAGUCCCGCAACGAGCGCAACCCUUGUUCACUGUUGCCAGCACGUUAUGGUGGGGACUCAGUGGAGACCGCCGGGGUCAACUCGGAGGAAGGUGGGGAUGACGUCAAGUCAUCAUGCCCCUUAUGUCCAGGGCUUCACGCAUGCUACAAUGGCUGGUACAGAGAGUGGCGAGCCUGUGAGGGUGAGCGAAUCUCGGAAAGCCGGUCUCAGUUCGGAUUGGGGUCUGC